GACGAACGCUGGCGGCGUGCUUAACACAUGCAAGUCGAACGGAAAGGCCCUGCUUUUGUGGGGUGCUCGAGUGGCGAACGGGUGAGUAACACGUGAGUAACCUGCCCUUGACUUUGGGAUAACUUCAGGAAACUGGGGCUAAUACCGGAUAGGAGCUCCUGCUGCAUGGUGGGGGUUGGAAAGUUUCGGCGGUUGGGGAUGGACUCGCGGCUUAUCAGCUUGUUGGUGGGGUAGUGGCUUACCAAGGCUUUGACGGGUAGCCGGCCUGAGAGGGUGACCGGCCACAUUGGGACUGAGAUACGGCCCAGACUCCUACGGGAGGCAGCAGUGGGGAAUAUUGCACAAUGGGCGGAAGCCUGAUGCAGCAACGCCGCGUGCGGGAUGACGGCCUUCGGGUUGUAAACCGCUUUCGCCUGUGACGAAGCGUGAGUGACGGUAAUGGGUAAAGAAGCACCGGCUAACUACGUGCCAGCAGCCGCGGUGAUACGUAGGGUGCGAGCGUUGUCCGGAUUUAUUGGGCGUAAAGGGCUCGUAGGUGGUUGAUCGCGUCGGAAGUGUAAUCUUGGGGCUUAACCCUGAGCGUGCUUUCGAUACGGGUUGACUUGAGGAAGGUAGGGGAGAAUGGAAUUCCUGGUGGAGCGGUGGAAUGCGCAGAUAUCAGGAGGAACACCAGUGGCGAAGGCGGUUCUCUGGGCCUUUCCUGACGCUGAGGAGCGAAAGCGUGGGGAGCGAACAGGCUUAGAUACCCUGGUAGUCCACGCUGUAAACGGUGGGUACUAGGUGUGGGGUCCAUUCCACGGGUUCCGUGCCGUAGCUAACGCUUUAAGUACCCCGCCUGGGGAGUACGGCCGCAAGGCUAAAACUCAAAGGAAUUGAUGGGGCCCCGCACAAGCGGCGGAGCAUGCGGAUUAAUUCGAUGCAACGCGUAGAACCUUACCUGGGUUUGACAUGGAUCGGGAGUGCUCAGAGAUGGGUGUGCCUCUUUUGGGGUCGGUUCACAGGUGGUGCAUGGCUGUCGUCAGCUCGUGUCGUGAGAUGUUGGGUUAAGUCCCGCAACGAGCGCAACCCUUGUUCACUGUUGCCAGCACGUUAUGGUGGGGACUCAGUGGAGACCGCCGGGGUCAACUCGGAGGAAGGUGGGGAUGACGUCAAGUCAUCAUGCCCCUUAUGUCCAGGGCUUCACGCAUGCUACAAUGGCUGGUACAGAGAGUGGCGAGCCUGUGAGGGUGAGCGAAUCUCGGAAAGCCGGUCUCAGUUCGGAUUGGGGUCUGCAACUCGACCUCAUGAAGUCGGAGUCGCUAGUAAUCGCAGAUCAGCAACGCUGCGGUGAAUACGUUCCCGGG
This 1343-nucleotide ribosomal RNA is filed under the name uncultured bacterium. RNAcentral describes it as "16S ribosomal RNA". It matches the Rfam family "Bacterial small subunit ribosomal RNA", at positions 28 to 1378 of the family's 1533-position model. The record is from RNAcentral.